CUCCCGUGUUCUCUCUCUUUCAGCUUUCUCCUUUGGUUUUCAAACUUCAUUUGUUCCUCUUCACAACAGAAAUUUAUUUGAGUUGGUUGAGUACAUAAAGAAUUGUUGACGUCGAAAUUCUUCAACAAAUCAGGGUUGGCGUGGAAGAGACUCCCUUUCUUGAAUCAUUAGCGUUGCCUACCGGGUUCGUUAAUCAUGCCAAUACCGACGAUGAGUUAACAGAUGAUGACAGGGAAUAAAUAUAUUAAUUAUUUUUUGUAUUAAUUAGACUUUGUUUCAUUUUGUAUGCUAUGAUAUCGUAUCAUAAAAUUAUAUUUCUGUUUUU
Molecule: long non-coding RNA, 325 nt
Organism: Pyrus x bretschneideri (Chinese white pear)
Lineage: Eukaryota; Viridiplantae; Streptophyta; Magnoliopsida; Rosales; Rosaceae
Exons: 3
Source: RefSeq, a predicted model, not a curated record